GCCAGAAAAGCCACGAGAUUCUCUCGGAAAAGAUUCGUCAAGAGAUUUUCUUUCUGUAGCAUCCCGUGAAAAUUGAUCUCUGGCUCGUCGUAAGCGGCUACUCCAAGAAGAAUCCGACUGAUUUGCCUGACCAGAACCGCCAACCGGAAAUGCCUGAAACUGAAAUGAAUUCCCGUGCUUUUGAAAGUGACGUGGGUUCCGGUUUCCUUUACCUUUCCUGUGGUGUUGCCAUCCUCUAGCAUCUCUCUGAGACUGGUGACGUGUCCGGAAGGAAAUGUCCUUUCCGUUCGAAUUCUUUCGCUUGUGUCGAGUUCUAUUGCGGUAUGAAGUAUUGCCGCUGACCUCAACAGAAGAAGGUACUCGCAUUUGGUUCAGUGCUUCCCAGUCUUUUGACCGUUGUUGUUUUUUCCAUGUGUGAUAGCGUUCUUGAUGGGCGUCAGCGUGAAGGUGCUUUGUGAAUGAAAGAAGCUCCACGAAAGUUUCCUUGCAUAGAGUGCAUUCGUGUACACAAUCCCUAAAAUCCAACGAAACCACUUUUUAGAACAUGGAAAUAUUUCUAGUUUUUAUAAGGAAAUCUAUGUAUGUCAAGUAACUGGUCAAAGUGACAACAAGAAUCUGCAAGAUGUUAAUCAAAGUGCACCUAGACCCUGAGACAAUACUUUAGGUAUUGAUUCUACCUAAGGUAGAAAUGAAGAAAUAUUUCAUCAUUCAACUACUGUAUUCACUUUAUGUAGAAUCAAUACUCAAAGUAUUGUAUCUGAGGUUAAGUGCACUUUAACUCUGCAUAAAGAGGCAAUCUGGAGUAAGUAAUUCACUAAAUAAUAGUUGACUUUAAGCAAAGGAAAUGGGAAGUGAAAGGUGCGAUAAAAUUAAUUCUUCCUUCAAUUUAAAAAACGCAAACAAAUAGUGUUAUUGCAAUGGCAGAUCCAGGAUGAUUUCAAAGGGGGAGGGGUGGCUAAUACAAAAAUGUCAGUAUACAGCUUUUUUUGGAUUGACAAAUAGAUAGUAUGGGGCCUCCAUUUUGGCUGUACUGUACUGACAAGUAAACAGUUUGUGGCAAACUAUUUGGCCACAAGAGAAAGAGAAAAAGAAAUCACAGCCUCUUAGACAAAGCAGAUCAUUCCAAUCAUCAUGAGUAAAGUUUAGUCAUGUACUGAAUUGACAAGUAAACAGCUUGUGGCCAACAUUUUAACCAAAAGAGAAGAAGAAAAGAGAAAUUAUUACAGCCUCUAGGACUAAGCAGAUCGUUACAUUCAUCAGGAACAAAUGCUGAAGAGUGCAAAAAAUGAAUGGAAUGAAAUCUUACUCGGGUACUAUGUAGUUUGUGGCCAACAUUUUGACCACAAGAGAAGGAAAGAAAAACCUUCCAAGUCUCUAGGACUGCAAGAAGAUUGCUCUAUUCAACAAAGGAGGUUUUGUAUCUAUUGACCUUGACAAAUGACAAAGUUUGUACAUGUACAUGUAGCUAUUAUUGUGGCAAUUAGGAAAGAGUAUGGGAUACUAAACCCAUUCUGAUGCAGCUGAAUGGUUUCUGCUUCAAAAGCAAAUUCAGUCCCACCAAAAAUUUAAUAUAAUCACCAUAAAAGCAAAUUCAAAGACCACAAUAAAAAUACAAUAAGCCAUGAAAUAAAUGAUGAUGAUAUUGACCGGGUCGGUGCCCCAUACAAGAAUUCUGCUAGAUUUUUAGAUUUGGUAAGAAAACACUUCUUUAGUUUUUCGAAAAUUUAAGCAGAGAGAUAAAACUAACUUUAUCAGAAUAGAUGGUUAGGCCAAACAAAAAAAUAAGUGUGUUUCCUGCUGCAUGAGAAAAAUAAUUGGGGUCGGCAGGUCAGAUUUUUUUUACUGAUACAACAGUAGCCUGCGUGCAGCCGAACUAGCUAACUGUUUAGUCCGUCUGCAAACCAGCGACAGCUUUCUUGUUCCGUUACCCCCAGCAGCAUACCUGGAUUUCAGUACACAUUCUGAUUGGCUCUUACUUAUAAGUUUGCUGAUUGGCUAUAAUUUUCAGUCUCUAUUCAAAUUUCAGGCUAGUUUGUUUAUAUGAUUUCACGUGCAUUGCUUCUUACCGGGAAUAAGACUCAAAUUUAUGUCUCGUUUAUUGCUAGUAAUAAUUAUAAUUUGUAUUUUAUGUCCUCAAGAGUUAUCAAAGCACCAUGUUUGUUAUCUUGUAGAAGGAAAGUCAAAGUUAAACGUGAAGUGUGAGUUGGAGAUUUAUUUUCAAUCAACAGAGCGAGUAUAUAUGCAAGUUGCGCUUUCAAACCUUGUCAAAGAGACAAAGUUUAAUCCAACUGCAACACAAACUUGAAACCUUGCGUGACAUACACAAGGAGAAUAUGUUGCCUGUUGAGACAAAUGAGCUAAAGAGAGGAUCAGCAGAGGAUAUGAAGUGUGUACCCCUAAAAGCCGUAUCGAAGGGACUAGCAAAGAUAAUACAUCAUGUGUUCGCACAUGCAAAAGAAAAAAUUCCCGCUGUUCCUCCUUAUUCGCCAAUUCAGAAAGAAGCCCGUCUGUUAAGUCAAUAUGUACAGAUCUGUCCGACAAGGUGAAAUGAACAACCAAAGAAAAGCUAAGGAGAGAAUGCUACCAGAAGAAUCUCUGGGCAAGAUGCUGGUUUGCUGGGUCACGAUUUGUGUCUUUGCUUUGCAGAUGGACUAUAAGAGAGAAAAGUUUGGCUGCACGCAGGCUAAUACAACAGUGGAAAUGAGCUUACUNGGAACCCUGUGGUGCAUUUGGGAAUUAAAAAAAUAUAUUAGGGUUGGCAAAAAUCGGCAAGAAAAUAAGGGUCGGUCGCACAACAGGAAACACACUUAUUUUUGUGUUUGGCCUUAUAUAUAUGUAUGAUAACAUAAUGUGGUCAAUUGCCAUCCAACCAGAAAUCAAUUGGAUAUAAUCUAACACAAUAAAAGGACAGAGUCUAUUUGUAAAAUGGGUGACAAAUAACAUCAAUAGAGAACAAAUAUAUCUAAAUAAACAAUAAUAAUAAUAUACAAGUGACAAUAAUAGCAAAGUCUGCAUCCACUAUUACUGGUUUGCAAUCAUUCUCAAGGGAGUUAAAUAACAAAAGACAUGGCAUCCAUGUUGGUUGGUUUAACAAAAGGAUUCAUUUACAAGUCUUUUGUCAAAUUCAACCAAAAUGAAGGCUACAGUGUAUGGCAUCAUAAUCAUGUACAUAGGUUGAAUAGGUGAGUGUUUGUUUGUAGUUUUGUGAAAGUCUCAACAGCUUUAAAGUGCCUAUGACACCUAACUCAAAAUUUUCAGCAUUGAUUCUAAAUGAAGUAAAUAGUUGAAUGGUAAAAUAUUUUUAUAGGGUUUGAGUGACGCAUCUUGGAGAUAUCAAGGCUUAUACUCCCAAUAUGUUAAUGGUGUGACGUUAAAGGAGGCAUUAUUAAAUAUACAAACUUUUUCUGGGGCAGUAAAAUAUCCUGUAUAAAACAUCAUUGCCUUACUUAGGAUUUAAAGAA
Molecule: long non-coding RNA, 3461 nt
Filed under: Actinia tenebrosa (Australian red waratah sea anemone)
Lineage: Eukaryota; Metazoa; Cnidaria; Anthozoa; Actiniaria; Actiniidae
Description: uncharacterized LOC116307665
Source: RNAcentral